UACAGAGGGGGCAAGCGUUGUUCGGAAUUACUGGGCGUAAAGGGCGCGUAGGCGGCCUGCUAAGUCAGACGUGAAAUCCCUCAGCUUAACUGGGGAACUGCGUCUGAUACUGGGUGGCUUGAGUGCAGGAGAGGAAUGCGGAAUUCCAGGUGUAGCGGUGAAAUGCGUAGAUAUCUGGAGGAACACCGGUGGCGAAGGCGGCAUUCUGGACUGUAACUGACACUGAGGAACGAAAGCCAGGGGAGCAAACGGG
Molecule: ribosomal RNA, 253 nt
Filed under: uncultured bacterium
Lineage: Bacteria
Description: partial 16S ribosomal RNA
Rfam family: Bacterial small subunit ribosomal RNA
Source: RNAcentral